CCCGGGUCAGAGCUCCUGCCUCGAACCUCCUGGUGGAGCCACUGACCCCUGAUCCCUCCUUCUCCCCCCUAGUGUGAGACCGAGACGGCUGGGGACGUGGAGGACACUGGCCUGGUGCCCACCCACCUGGCUAGCGAGUGCCCCUCCACCCUCCAGCGGGCGAUGGUUCAGCUGGUCAGCAGGCGUGGACGUGGCUUUCUGCUCACUGAAGAGUGUGGCUGACACUGGACCUGCUGAGCAUCCCUAGUUGGAGACAGAGUGCAAGAAAACAUGGAACCCCAGUAAGCGGGCACCCACGUUCUAGAGACGGCCCCCCACAGCUCACUCGGGCACGGACCCUGGACAGGACAGGAUGUUUGCUUGUCUCCCUGUGUCCCGAGGUUGGAGACCCAAGAAAGCCCGUGGUGAGGGCCUCAUCCGCCGCUGCAGGCGCUGGCUCAGCCUUGCCCUGGUGGGAUCUGGCCUUUUAGCCAGAGGAAGCCAAAGAGCUCCACAAGGAGCCCAGCACAGGGCUGGAUGACGGGGACUUCUACAUCCCAUCCCUGACCAGUGGGCCACACCACCAAGAGGGUCCAGAGCAGGCUGGAGGGCUGCAGGGAACAUCACGUCCCCUGAACAUCCUGAUGUUCCCACCCACCCAGGAGAGACCCCCGGGAAGGGACUGUCAGGCCGCAGGGGAUGCGUGUUGAAAGCUUGAACUGCUGGGGCCAGGUUGCUUGAAACAGCCAAGGAUCCCAAGCAAGUGAUGAGUGGCAGUUCCCUGCCAUUUGACAACUCUGCAUAUGAUCAGACUGUGAACCUUUUGUCCUGCCAAUGUGAGAAAGGCAAAUAAAGUGAAAAUUGCAAUCUCCCAGUGAGAAGUUGACCUAACAUUCAAUAAAUUUAAGACCAUUUAUAAAUUUUCUUCCCUGCAACGACAGCUCAUAUACCGAGAAUUUGCAAGGACUCUCACCCGCCCUGGAAUCUCCAGGCAUUUGCACUUCUGCGGCAUCUGGGAUCACCUGAGCCUCAGGUUCUCAAAACUCCCUUCAAUGUAAAGGAAAGAGGAGGAAGU
Long non-coding RNA from Choloepus didactylus (southern two-toed sloth), 1054 nucleotides. RefSeq lists it as uncharacterized. The transcript is spliced from 5 exons. The record is from RefSeq and is a predicted model, not a curated record. NCBI's taxonomy places the organism in Eukaryota, Metazoa, Chordata, Mammalia, Pilosa, Megalonychidae.